AGUGAACGCUGGCGGUAGGCCUAACACAUGCAAGUCGAACGGCAGCACAGGAGAGCUUGCUCUCUGGGUGGCGAGUGGCGGUCGGGUGAGGAAUACAUCGGAAUCUACUCUGUCGUGGGGGAUAACGUAGGGAAACUUACGCUAAUACCGCAUACGACCUACGGGUGAAAGCAGGGGACCUUCGGGCCUUGCGCGAUUGAAUGAGCCGAUGUCGGAUUAGCUAGUUGGCGGGGUAAAGGCCCACCAAGGCGACGAUCCGUAGCUGGUCUGAGAGGAGGAUCAGCCACAGUGGAACUGAGACACGGUCCAGACUCCUACGGGAGGCAGCAGUGGGGAAUAUUGGACAAUGGGCGCAAGCCUGAUCCAGCCAUACCGCGUGGGUGAAGAAGGCCUUCGGGUUGUAAAGCCCUUUUGUUGGGAAAGAAAUCCAGCUGGCUAAUACCCGGUUGGGAUGACGGUACCCAAAGAAUAAGCACCGGCUAACUUCGUGCCAGCCGCCGCGGUAA
RNAcentral lists this ribosomal RNA (506 nucleotides) under uncultured bacterium. Its description in RNAcentral is "partial 16S ribosomal RNA". It matches the Rfam family "Bacterial small subunit ribosomal RNA", at positions 29 to 523 of the family's 1533-position model. The record is from RNAcentral.